Molecule: non-coding RNA, 23 nt
Filed under: Cricetulus griseus (Chinese hamster)
Lineage: Eukaryota; Metazoa; Chordata; Mammalia; Rodentia; Cricetidae
Source: RNAcentral
GAAGACAAUCGAUGACCUGGAAG